This 337-nucleotide ribosomal RNA is filed under the name Centruroides taino. RNAcentral's name for it is "partial 12S ribosomal RNA". The record is from RNAcentral. Lineage: Eukaryota; Metazoa; Arthropoda; Arachnida; Scorpiones; Buthidae.
AAAAAGAUAAAAAUAUUAGGUAGUAAAAGUUGUCUUGAAACUUAAAGAAUUUGGCGGUGUUUUAAUCUUAUCAGAGGAACUUGUUUUGUAAUCGACAAUACUCGAUAAAUCUUACCUAAUUCAAUAGCUUGUAUAUCGUUGUGGUAAUAAUAUUUUAUAAUAAUUAUUAAGGAUAAUUUUAUUUUUAAUAUCAGAUCAAGGUUCAGUUUAUAUUUAGGUAAAAAAUGAGUUACAAUAUAGAUAUAUAUUACGAAAUUCAUCAUUAAAAGUUGGAUGAAGGAGGAUUUGAAAGUAUUUUUAUAAUAAUAUGUUAGUUUGAAUUGGCUCUAAAACAUGU